GAUGAACGCUAGCGACAGGCUUAACACAUGCAAGUCGAGGGGCAGCAUAGAAGUAGCAAUACUUUGGUGGCGACCGGCGCACGGGUGAGUAACGCGUAUGCAACCUACCUAUCAGAGGGGAAUAACCCGGCGAAAGUCGGACUAAUACCGCAUAAAACAGGGACACCGCAUGGUGAUAUUUGUUAAAGAAAUUCGCUGAUAGAUGGGCAUGCGUUCCAUUAGGUAGUUGGUGAGGUAACGGCUCACCAAGCCGACGAUGGAGAGGGGAACUGAGAGGUUGGUACGCCACACUGGUACUGAGACACGGACCAGACUCCUACGGGAGGCAGCAGUGAGGAAUAUUGGGCAAUGGGCAAGAGCCUGAACCAGCCAAGUCGCGUGAAGGACGAAGGAUGUAUGGUUCGUAAACUUCUUUUGCAGGGGAAUAAAGUGCAGGACGUGUCCUGUUUUGUAUGUACCCUGAGAAUAAGGAUCGGCUAACUCCGUGCCAGCAGCCGCGGUAA
This 503-nucleotide ribosomal RNA is filed under the name uncultured bacterium. RNAcentral describes it as "partial 16S ribosomal RNA". It matches the Rfam family "Bacterial small subunit ribosomal RNA", at positions 28 to 523 of the family's 1533-position model. The record is from RNAcentral.